CCUACGGGGGGCAGCAGUGGGGGAUAUUGCACAAUGGGGGAAACCCUGAUGCAGCGACGCCGCGUGUGGGAAGACGGUCCUCUGGAUUGUAAACCACUGUCCCCAGGGACGAAGAUGACGGUACCUGGGGAGGAAGCUCCGGCUAACUACGUGCCAGCAGCCGCGGUAAUACGUAGGGAGCAAGCGUUGUCCGGAAUUACUGGGUGUAAAGGGAGCGUAGGCGGGAUGGCAAGUUGGGUGUUAAAUCUACGGGCUCAACUGGUAGUCGCACUCAAAACUGCUAUUCUUGAGUGAAGUAGAGGCAGGCGGAAUGCGUGGUGUAGCGGUGAAAUGCGUAGAUAUUAGGAGGAACACCAGUGGCGAAGGCGGCCUGCUGGGCUUUUACUGACGCUGAGGCUCGAAAGUGUGGGGAGCAAACAGGAUUAGAUACCCGUGUAGUC
Molecule: ribosomal RNA, 440 nt
Filed under: uncultured bacterium
Lineage: Bacteria
Description: partial 16S ribosomal RNA
Rfam family: Bacterial small subunit ribosomal RNA
Source: RNAcentral